This 253-nucleotide ribosomal RNA is filed under the name uncultured bacterium. RNAcentral describes it as "partial 16S ribosomal RNA". It matches the Rfam family "Bacterial small subunit ribosomal RNA", at positions 524 to 776 of the family's 1533-position model. The record is from RNAcentral.
UACGUAGGGGGCUAGCGUUGUCCGGAAUCAUUGGGCGUGAAGCGCGCGUAGGCGGCCCGGUAAGUCCGUUGUGAAAGUCAAAGGCUCAACCUUUGAAAGCCGAUGGAUACUGCCGGGCUAGAGUCCGGAAGAGGCGAGUGGAAUUCCUGGUGUAGCGGUGGAAUGCGCAGAUAUCAGGAGGAACACCGAUAGCGAAGGCAGCUCGCUGGGACGGUACUGACGCUAAGGCGCGAAAGCGUGGGGAGCGAACAGG